UAGGUCUCUAGACAUUACAGAGAAUCCCGAACAACCCAAACUGCUAAUCUUCGAUACCACUUUUUACUCACGAUCUUGUAUCCACUGACUGUCUCGUUAGAUUAAUCCAAUAAAUUUCAUUCACUCCGCAUACUCAAUCCUAUAGACACCCUUUUAAUUCUUCAUCACAGACGUAACUCAAUUUCACAAAACAGUCAAGAGUAAUCACACCCACUUCAUUAAAAUCCCAAUUCACCAGUACAACACUGACUUCAGCAAUGAUUGCCUCAGUC
Molecule: long non-coding RNA, 272 nt
Filed under: Physcomitrium patens
Lineage: Eukaryota; Viridiplantae; Streptophyta; Bryopsida; Funariales; Funariaceae
Description: long non-coding RNA (PPAT_LNC008988)
Source: RNAcentral